RNAcentral lists this ribosomal RNA (117 nucleotides) under Pseudomonas syringae group genomosp. 3. RNAcentral's name for it is "partial 16S ribosomal RNA". It matches the Rfam family "Bacterial small subunit ribosomal RNA", at positions 1 to 112 of the family's 1533-position model. Lineage: Bacteria; Pseudomonadati; Pseudomonadota; Gammaproteobacteria; Pseudomonadales; Pseudomonadaceae. The record is from RNAcentral.
UUGAACUGAAGAGUUUGAUCAUGGCUCAGAUUGAACGCUGGCGGCAGGCCUAACACAUGCAAGUCGAGCGGCAGCACGGGUACUUGUACCUGGUGGCGAGCGGCGGACGGGUGAGUA